AGGAUGAACGCUGGCGGCGUGCCUAAUACAUGCAAGUCGAACGGAUCCUUCGGGAUUAGUGGCGGACGGGUGAGUAACACGUGGGAACGUACCCUUUGGUUCGGAACAACUCAGGGAAACUUGAGCUAAUACCGAAUGUGCCCUUCGGGGAAAAGAUUUAUCGCCAUUGGAGCGGCCCGCGUCUGAUUAGCUAGUUGGUAGGGUAAAGGCCUACCAAGGCUACGAUCAGUAGCUGGUCUGAGAGGAUGAUCAGCCACACUGGGACUGAGACACGGCCCAGACUCCUACGGGAGGCAGCAGUGGGGAAUAUUGCACAAUGGGCGCAAGCCUGAUGCAGCAACGCCGCGUGAGGGACGACGGCCUUCGGGUUGUAAACCUCUUUAGUAGGAAGAAGCGAAAGUGACGGUACCUGCAGAAAAAGCACCGGCUAACUACGCGCCAGCAGCCGC
This 449-nucleotide ribosomal RNA is filed under the name uncultured bacterium. Its description in RNAcentral is "SSU rRNA". It matches the Rfam family "Bacterial small subunit ribosomal RNA", at positions 26 to 518 of the family's 1533-position model. The record is from RNAcentral.